GUGAGGAGUGGAGGUCUGUUGAAGGGCUGUGAGGAGGGGAGGAGGGGAGGUCUGUUGAAGGACUGUGAGGAGGGGAGGUCUGUUGAAGGACUGUGAGGAGGGGAGGUCUGUUGAAGGACUGUGAGGAGGGGAGGUCUGUUGAAGGGCUGUGAGGAGGGGAGGUCUGUUGAAGGGCUGUGAGGAGGGGAGGUCUGUUGAAGGACUGUGAGGAGUGGAGGUCUGUUGAAGGACUGUGAGGAGGGGAGGUCUGUUGAAGGGCUGUGAGGAGGGGAGGUCUGUUGAAGGGCUGUGAGGAGGGGAGGUCUGUUGAAGGACUGUGAGGAGGGGAGGUCUGUUGAAGGACUGUGAGGAGGGGAGGUCUGUUGAAGGACUGGUGUGUGGCCGGCAGCGAGUUGCCACAUCGUCAUCCUCAGCACAGGCAUCUUCUUCAUCACCUCAGAGUGUGUGUCUGUGUGUCUGUGUGUGUGUGUGUGUCUGUGUGUGUGUGUGUGUGUGUGUGUUGUGUGUGUGUGUGUGUGUGUGUGUGUGGCUGGGUGGGUUACAUUCUGAGUGUAAUUUGUCACUAGAUACCCGUCCAAAAUUGUAAUCGGUAACAUAACUGUUGGGAUUACCCAAACUCAGUGACAUAACUGUUGGGAUUACCCAAACUCAGGAACAUAACUGUUGGGAUUACCCAAACUCAGGAACAUAACUGUUGGGAUUACCCAAACUCAGUAAUGUAACUGUUGGGAUUACCCAAACUCAGUAAUGUAACUGUUGGGAUUACCCAAACUCAGGAACAUAACUGUUGGGAUUACCCAAACUCAGUAACAUAACUGUUGGGAUUACCCAAACUCAGUAACAUAACUGUUGGGAUUACCCAAACUCAGUAAUGUAACUGUUGGGAUUACCCAAACUCAGGAACAUAUAGGGCUGUGUAGUGUGUUAUAGCUGUAUAGAGCUGUGUAGUGUGUUAUAGCUGUAUAGAGCUGUGUAGUGUGUUAUAGCUGUAUAGGGCUGUGUAGUGUGUUAUAGCUGUAUAGAGCUGUGUAGUGUGUUAUAGCUGUAUAGAGUUGUGUAGUGUGUUAUAGCUGUAUAGAGCUGUGUAGUGUGUUAUAAAGUUGUGUAGUGUGUUAUAGCUGUAUAGAGCUGUGUAGUGUGUUAUAGAGCUGUGUAGUGUGUUAUAGAGCUGUGUAGUGUGUUAUAGAGCUGUGUAGUCUGUUAUAGAGCUGUGUAGUGUGUUAUAGAGCUAUGUAGUGUGUUAUAGAGCUGUGUAGUGUGUUAUAGCUGUAUAGAGCUGUGUAGUGUGUUGUAGCUGUAUAGAGUUGUGUAGUGUGUUAUAGCUGUAUAGUGCUGUGUAGUGUGUUAUAGAGCUGUGUAGUGUGUUAUAGAGCUGUGUAGUGUGUUAUAGAGCUGUGUAGUGUGUUAUAGCUGUAUAGAGUUGUGUAGUGUGUUAUAGCUGUAUAGAGCUGUGUAGUGUGUUAUAGCUCUGUGUAGUGUGUUAUAGCUGUAUAGAGCUGUGUAGUGUGUUAUAGAGCUGUGUAGUGUGUUAUAGCUGUAUAGAGCUGUGUAGUGUGUUAUAGGCUGUGUAGUGUGUUAUAGCUGUAUAGAGCUGUGUAGUGUGUUAUAGCUGUAUAGAGCUGUGUAGUGUGUUAUAGCUGUAUAGAGCUGUGUAGUGUGUUAUAGGCUGUGUAGUGUGUUAUAGGCUGUGUAGUCUGUUAUAGAGCUGUGUAGUGUGUUAUAGAGCUGUGUAGUCUGUUAUAGAGCUGUGUAGUGUGUUAUAGCUGUAUAGAGCUGUGUAGUGUGUUAUAGCUGUAUAGAGCUGUGUAGUGUGUUAUAGCUGUAUAGAGCUGUGUAGUGUGUUAUAGAGCUGUGUAGUCUGUUAUAGAGCUGUGUAGUGUGUUAUAGCUGUAUAGAGCUGUGUAGUGUGUUAUAGAGCUGUGUAGUCUGUUAUAGAGCUGUGUAGUGUGUUAUAGCUGUAUAGAGCUGUGUAGUGUGUUAUAGAGCUGUGUAGUCUGUUAUAGAGCUGUGUAGUGUGUUAUAGCUGUAUAGAGCUGUGUAGUCUGUUAUAGCUGUAUAGAGCUGUGUAGUGUGUUAUAGCUGUAUAGAGCUGUGUAGUGUGUUAUAGCUGUAUAGAGCUGUGUAGUGUGUUAUAGCUGUAUAGAGCUGUGUAGUGUGUUAUAGCUGUAUAGAGCUGUGUAGUGUGUUAUAGCUGUAUAGAGC
This 2202-nucleotide long non-coding RNA is filed under the name Salmo salar (Atlantic salmon). Its description in RNAcentral is "lncRNA (ENSSSAG00000117798.1)". Lineage: Eukaryota; Metazoa; Chordata; Actinopteri; Salmoniformes; Salmonidae. The record is from RNAcentral.